Molecule: non-coding RNA, 29 nt
Filed under: Mus musculus (house mouse)
Lineage: Eukaryota; Metazoa; Chordata; Mammalia; Rodentia; Muridae
Also listed under: 1 other name
Source: RNAcentral
UAGUUUAAAGAACAAAUUUCAAGGGAUGU